GUGCUCACUCCAGCAGCACAUCCACUAAAAUUUGAACAAUACAGAUAUUAGCAUGACCCCUGUGCAAGGAUGACACACAGAUUCCUGAAGCUCAAUUAGGGAAG
This 104-nucleotide small nuclear RNA is filed under the name Microtus ochrogaster (prairie vole). The record is from RNAcentral. Lineage: Eukaryota; Metazoa; Chordata; Mammalia; Rodentia; Cricetidae.